GACGAACCGGACGAACGUUAUUCGGAAUUACUGGGCUUAAAGGGUUCGUAGGCGGCCUUGUAAGUGAGAUGUGAAAUCCCUCGGCUCAACCGAGGAAGUGCAUUUCAUACUGCAAGGCUUGAGGGAGACAGAGGUAAGCGGAACUGAUGGUGGAGCGGUGAAAUGUGUUGAUAUCAUCAGGAACACCGGUGGCGAAAGCGGCUUACUGGGUCUCUUCUGACGCUGAGGAACGAAAGCUAGGGGAGCGAACGGG
This 253-nucleotide ribosomal RNA is filed under the name uncultured bacterium. Its description in RNAcentral is "partial 16S ribosomal RNA". It matches the Rfam family "Bacterial small subunit ribosomal RNA", at positions 524 to 776 of the family's 1533-position model. The record is from RNAcentral.